AACCAAAUUAUUUUAUUGUUAGAUUCUUUCUCUCAUUUAGGAGUGGGAUGGCUUGCAUAGAAUCAAAUGGAGGAUUGAUAUCAAGGUGGCCAUCUAGGAGGCUCAUAUUAUUGCAUAUAGGGUGGACACAGUAUUUAGGUUAGAGUCAUGUCCAAAGCCUCGACUACGAUCAAGAUUCUAAUAUUUAUUAGCGACAUAGAUAUUCCAUGAGAGACUAGAUAUUGGUAUGCAUUUUGUGCUCCAAAUCAA
RNAcentral lists this long non-coding RNA (249 nucleotides) under Elaeis guineensis (African oil palm). Its description in RNAcentral is "long non-coding RNA (EGUI_LNC055227)". The record is from RNAcentral. Lineage: Eukaryota; Viridiplantae; Streptophyta; Magnoliopsida; Arecales; Arecaceae.